Molecule: non-coding RNA, 46 nt
Organism: Picea glauca (white spruce)
Lineage: Eukaryota; Viridiplantae; Streptophyta; Pinopsida; Pinales; Pinaceae
Source: Rfam
GUAAAGGUGUCUUUAGACACCGCCCUUUUUCUUCAAAAAUUUUUAU